UGCAAUCAACAGUUUUCAGACAUUGGACAUUGGUUUAAGACGAUAAUCCCUGAGAGCUGGGAAACAAACAAUGUGAGCCCUGUGACAGCUCCAGCUGACGGCCUGGACAGUGUCCAGCCUGCGGCACGGGGAGGAGGGACCCAGACAGAGCCGGGGGCUUCUUGAGUUGAGGAGCUGGAACUGGAGUUUGAGGGAGCUGAGGCAGCUGGAGUCCACAGGUGGCCGGACCGCGACGGGUAGAGCCUGACUCAGUAGGGCCUUUCGGGAAAGAAAACGAAACAGCAGCAACUGGAGACGGGGAGGUCACCUCCACGAAGGAAGGUUGUCGCCUCCACUUCCAGAUCUGCUCCCCAAGAUGGUUUGGCUCGAUGGCAGCAUGAUGAGGAGGUCAGGGCUGUCGCUGUGUGGCCUCAGCUCUGAAAAGUGAAGCCAAGAGAAGCAGAGACAGUUUCCUCAGGCCAUCCAGUGGGCUUCUGCCUCCAGCCUCCCCCAGGCCUCCUCCUGGGAUAUAGGAAGCAUCGUGUGAGAGGCAGACAGGAUAAUGUCUGUGAAAAUGGACCUCUGAAAAAUCUCUCCUCUGUGAAAAUGAGCAAGCAGGCAAAAAUUAGCAGGACCAACUUUUUGUGAACUCUGGAAGUUGACCAAAAGCUUGCAACAAUUCUAGGAAAAUUUAUUCAAGAAAAAUGGCUGGACCUUGAUAAGAAGAACAAACUCUGUAUUAUUUUAACUUACCCUAUUCCCAUCCCCUUUUCUCUGGCUCUGUGGUUGCCUUGUGGUCCAGUAAUCAUACUCCUUGGUAUUUACCCAAAGGAGUUGAAAAUUUAUGUCUGUCGGAACUCACAUUCAUGAUGAAGGUCAGAAGUGGGGUGAGAGCAUCCCCCCAAUGUGUCAGGAACAAGACAAGGAUGCCCAUUUUCUCCACAUCUAUGCAACAUUGUAGUGGAGGUUUUAGGCAGGGAGAUGAAACAAGAAAUAGAAAUGAAGUCAUUCACAUUGUAAAGGAAGAAGUAAACCUAUAUUUACAAAUG
Long non-coding RNA from Rhinolophus ferrumequinum (greater horseshoe bat), 1028 nucleotides. RefSeq lists it as uncharacterized. The record is from RefSeq and is a predicted model, not a curated record. Lineage: Eukaryota; Metazoa; Chordata; Mammalia; Chiroptera; Rhinolophidae. The transcript is spliced from 3 exons.